GAUGAACGCUGGCGGCGUGCUUAACACAUGCAAGUCGAACGAUCAAGCCCAGCUUGCGGGGUGGAUUAGUGGCGAACGGGUGAGUAACACGUGAGUAACCUGCCCUUAACUCUGGGAUAAGCCUGGGAAACUGGGUCUAAUACCGGAUAGGAGCGCCUACCGCAUGGUGGGUGUUGGAAAGAUUUAUCGGUUUUGGAUGGACUCGCGGCCUAUCAGCUUGUUGGUGAGGUAAUGGCUCACCAAGGCGAGGACGGGUAGCCGGCCGGAGAGGUGGACCGGCCAAGAUGGGACGGGGAAAGGGCCCAGAUCCCUACGGGAGGCAGCAGGGGGAAAUAUUGCACAAUGGGGGAAAGCGUGAGGUAGAGACCCGGGGUGAGGGAUAACGGCCUUCGGGUUGUAAACCGAUUUCAGUAGGGAAGAGGCGAAAGUGACGGUACCUGCACAAGAAGCACCGGCUAACUACGUG
RNAcentral lists this ribosomal RNA (466 nucleotides) under uncultured bacterium. RNAcentral describes it as "partial 16S ribosomal RNA". It matches the Rfam family "Bacterial small subunit ribosomal RNA", at positions 28 to 507 of the family's 1533-position model. The record is from RNAcentral.